Rhipicephalus sanguineus (brown dog tick) is the source of this 4161-nucleotide long non-coding RNA. RefSeq lists it as uncharacterized. NCBI's taxonomy places the organism in Eukaryota, Metazoa, Arthropoda, Arachnida, Ixodida, Ixodidae. The transcript is spliced from 3 exons. The record is from RefSeq and is a predicted model, not a curated record.
UGAGGUGAAGUUUAUAGUGUACACUUUAUCGCGCUGAUAAUAGACGAAAGCUACGUAGAAGGAUAGUAAAGUUGCUUCUCUCUCUCUCUCUCUCUCUCUCUCUCUACGUAGAAGGAACGACACGGGACAGCACAAGCGCGGUUCCUUCUAUGUAGCUUUCGUCUAUUGUCAGCGCGAUUGUCAGGCCCUUUGGCUCUUCUAGAGGUGAAGUUUGUUUGCAGGCGGUCGCUGCUUGCCAUCUGCUUGCACAGCGCGAUUUAGUAGCGCGGUCGAGGCCACAGGACCACUAAGGGUGCCAAGUGAAAGCCACCGUGGUAGCUGCAUGGACAGAUCUUCCCGAUUUCACUUGGAGGCCGUCUACCUGCUAUGACUAAAAGGCUGCCGACUGUGACGUUGUGUGCAGAUUCAUCACCCUAUCCACAUCAACGAAACUGACUGAACAGUGCUUUUGUUUGAACAUUAUAUCGGAAUGUUGCUGGUACACCAUGCUUUCUUUGCCAAAGCCUCAUUCUUUUAUUAGUUUGUGUUCAAGGUGCAUCCAAUUCUUUUUUAAAAUUUCUUCCUUGUGUAAGAACUUCUCGUUUCUCUGAAAACUGCAUUCAUGUUUUCCUGUUUUGAGGCUGUGCCUCAGUCAAACAAGGUAAUACUGCACAAACGUAUCACAAGGUGUAUUGUUGAAUAUUACAAUGCUGUCCUUUUGCAUAUGACUUUCUGUGCGCAUUAAACUUGUUCUACACACACAGAAAUUCCAUAUACCUGUGUUCAGUUCAUAUGGGCUUCACAUUAUAAAGGUUUAAAGCCUUACAAGUGCAUGUGCACAAAUGGAAAGAGCCCAGUGGGAGAUGGGGAGCAACACCAGUGCUUGGUGCUAGUUCUUUACCCUGUUUGCACUAUAAUGUUCAUUUCACAUACCUUUAUCUCUUGGGUUAUAAGAAGUUUAUGCUGAAAUCUCUUGCACUCUUUUUUCUUACUUUGUGAAGCAAGCGGUGCACAAAAGUGAAGUUCCUUGGACUUCUGCUGAUGCUUGCUUGUGAAAUACGUACUUCAAAAAGUCAAGAGGGAGAACUCGAGAACAUCACCUGAUGCAAGAAAGUCCCAGCAGGGUUGGAUAUUUUGAAGACAGUUUUUGUGUUUCUAGCGUAGUGUUAUGGAAUUUGACAUAGUAAAGAAAUGCUACAUGGAACGCUGAUCCGUACCCUUCAAUACCCUUGGAACUCGUGCCUCUGAAGCCUGUAUGUUGUAUUUUAUUUUGUUAUGAAUAAUAAAGUGAACCAAUAAUUGGGCUUUCACUGAAGUAAUCAAAAGUUUGUGCUCUGUAAGGGGCAUGGUAUAUAACAUGCAUUUGUUUUAGCAAUGAAAUUCACUGAAGCUAUGUAAUAUGGUUCCCGACAUUAAGUAGCAGUAAAUUAGUUGGGAAUAAAAAAAAAAGCCAAUGUACACGAAAAUUUCACGUUUUCGGCAAAGUAUGCCAUAACCAACUAACACAAGUGCUUUUAGGCAGUUUUGAUAACAUAUUCUAUAUGACGUUCGUAUGACAUGUUAGUGCCAGAAACCACACUAAGCUAUGGCACAAUGCAAGUUAAAACUUUUAAUUUGACUGUACUAAAACGGACUUGAUAGGGUUGGCCACGGUGACAAAGCGAUUGAGUUGCCACUGAAGACGUGGACCACACCUAGUUAAGCAACCUGCCGCUUUCAUGAUGCCACGAUGCAUACGCUUUCCCACACCUGUGGAAAAGUCUCAUAACGUCUCCAUCUUGGAGGCUUUUGUUCUGGAAAUAGUUGUCCCGGCCCCUAAUAAAACAGCAGAGGGCAGCCCAGGAAAAUGUAAAAGGUGGAUAGUCUUCAAAAGUGUCGCUUUAGAACAGGCCGUAGCAUGCAAGUUCUUUGGAGCAAUUGGGACAGUGCCUCCAUCCCAGUAAAUUAUCACAUUUUGUUAUGGCACGAGCGGCGUCAGCGCCCCCUCAGAAAAGGAAAGAAAGAAGCACUAAAGACAUCAAGAAAGGUCCUUGCUUCAGAAGUGCCUCUGAAACCAGGCUGCAGAGUCAGCUUUGCGGUGUGCCAGCGGCGACGUCGGAGGGAGAGGCGGUCAGGUAAAAGGAAUUGCGGGAAUUAGGGCGCCCCUCUCCUUUUGCGAUUGCCGUGGCAGACGUGGGAAGAAAAAGGGAGAGGGGGGGGGGGGCGCCGUCAGUUUAUGGUGCCCUUCUAAAUUCCCCCGAAAAUGAACACGCUGUGCUAACGCGCACUUGUCGGGCCGAUUAAUGGAACGGAAAAUACGCGGGAAAUGCCUUCACGAAGUUUUAUUUGCCCAAGCAGCCUACGCGACAUAACUCAUCUGCGGUGUGGAGAUCGAGGAGGGCUUCGAAGCGCUCGGCUGGAAAGCUCCGGCAUUGUUCAGGAUUAGAGACGUCACUUGCCGUGCUCGGAAUAUUACGUACAAUUUCCGAAAAUUCGCGCCGCUGUCUGGAGAUUGCGUAAUGGAAAUGGCUUCGUAACCAAGUCGAAUAAAUGAAAUGUGGAUAUCGAUUGGUUUAUCACUACUACUGUCCCUACAUUUAGGCAUUGAUCGGAUGAGGAGUCUGAUGUUAAGUGCAUCGAUGCGCUGCAGCCACUCCGCUCGCCGGAUUCAUUUGCGGGCACAUAAUUUCGCAGCUUCACAUGCGCCGGUCACCAGACUUGCAUCCUACAAUCCAGCAAGGGCAAUUCAUGGUGUAAAAAAAAGAAGAAAAAAAAUCGCAUCGCCUCAAUUCGUGCUCAAGCAGACGACCCUCGCUCUCCGCCGCAGUUCUCAAUUGUAGUAGCAUAUUGGUCGAUUCCACAAAAUAUAAAAAAAAAUAAGGUGUAUACUUGAUGUUUCCGAUUUUCCUGAUAAUUUUGUAUUUUGUGCACAUAUCACUGCACAGCACGAAAUCGCAGUUCGUUUUCAAAUGAAAAUUUUUUUCAACACAGGAAAAUUGGACAAGCGUCGCCGGUUUACGAGUCAAUGACGACUACCAUUUUACGGAAGAGUGUGUUUUCGCUUGCACCGUGGUUCACAGUGCAUUAAUUCAACAUGGAAAAAAAGGUGCAGGUGCAUCUAAUUAUAUAACAUGAUUUGAAUCAGACAUGAAGAUACCUGCACUAUAGACGAUAUAGUAAGCAUGUAACAAUGGUGAUAAACCUGCUCCAAUACACUGAUUGUGAGCGCCAAGGGUUUGUAGCUACCCCAAAUUUAGAGAGAGAAGGCAGCCAUUCAAGUAUCCAGGGCUUCUGCAAGGAUUUGUUAACUUAUUUUUUGGCGCACUCAUAAUCUUCACUGUCUUAGUACAGAAGUAUUGAGACAUUUCAGCCUGCUUUGCAACAGCACACCCUAAGCCAGCAGCCAUUUGAGUGCAAUAUGCAGCGCAGGUGAUCUGUGCCCUCAACAUGCAGAGCUAGUGCAACCGCCACAGCAGGGCUAGCUAGAAGAGGAGCAGUGUUCUUAACCUGCUUCCCAGUUACCACCCUCUGCAUUAAGAUUCUGUGUAAGCAGCUGACAUUAAUGCAAAUUUUUAUUUGCAUAACUGUUUCACAUCUUUAUUCUAAACUUCAAGGGGCUUUUACAAAUUUUAAUAUGAUGCAAUUACGGACACCAAAUAGUUUUCAAAUUACCUUCAAGUUUGAACUAGAUGGGAGCUAGAUUUGCCAGUAUUCCAAUGUGUCUUGUAAACACCAGAAAGCAGAAUAUGAAAGUCACCUAUGCCCUCAGAAGUGCGUACAAGUUCAGAACUUAGUGUAAAUGGAGGAGCUAGAGCAGAUUUCAUGUACCUUGUUUCAAUCACCCACACCAUGAUUAGUCCUCUGCUCCAAAAUAAAAGUUUGCACCCUGAAAAAAAAAAAUCACCUGCACCAAAUUGUUCCAUUCACAAAACCAAGGUCUUGUUCCAAAAGCUUGUCACGCUCUCUCACCUAUCAUGAGCAAAACAACAAACAAAAUCCACUUUGUAUUCAUGUUCAAGGGCAUUUGCAGGGUGCAUUCUUUUCAUGUGAUUGCGCUAGUGUUUUAAAUAUUUCUUGCAUUUUGUGUAUGUUUGGAUGUCUAGUUCGAAUGUUUUUAUGUCUAUUUAUAAAGAUUGAUAUGCAGUUUGUGUCGUUGCGUUGUAGCUUAUUUGUAGUUGUGCAAUAAAUUUUAAAGCUUUGCAA